RNAcentral lists this ribosomal RNA (693 nucleotides) under uncultured bacterium. RNAcentral's name for it is "bacterial SSU rRNA". It matches the Rfam family "Bacterial small subunit ribosomal RNA", at positions 140 to 851 of the family's 1533-position model. The record is from RNAcentral.
GGGAUAACAGCUGGAAACGGCUGCUAAUACCGCAUAAGCGCACAGAGCUGCAUGGCUCGGUGUGAAAAACUCCGGUGGUAUGGGAUGGGCCCGCGUCUGAUUAGGCAGUUGGCGGGGUAACGGCCCACCAAACCGACGAUCAGUAGCCGGCCUGAGAGGGCGACCGGCCACAUUGGGACUGAGACACGGCCCAAACUCCUACGGGAGGCAGCAGUGGGGAAUAUUGCACAAUGGGGGAAACCCUGAUGCAGCGACGCCGCGUGAGCGAAGAAGUAUUUCGGUAUGUAAAGCUCUAUCAGCAGGGAAGAUAAUGACGGUACCUGACUAAGAAGCCCCGGCUAACUACGUGCCAGCAGCCGCGGUAAUACGUAGGGGGCAAGCGUUAUCCGGAUUUACUGGGUGUAAAGGGAGCGUAGACGGCAAGGCAAGUCUGAUGUGAAAACCCAGGGCUUAACCCUGGGACUGCAUUGGAAACUGUCUGGCUCGAGUGCCGGAGAGGUAAGCGGAAUUCCUAGUGUAGCGGUGAAAUGCGUAGAUAUUAGGAAGAACACCAGUGGCGAAGGCGGCUUACUGGACGGUAACUGACGUUGAGGCUCGAAAGCGUGGGGAGCAAACAGGAUUAGAUACCCUGGUAGUCCACGCCGUAAACGAUGAAAGCGAGGUGUUGGGGAGCAAAGCUCUUCGGUGCCGCCG